CCUACGGGUUGCAGCAGUGAGGAAUAUUGCUCAAUGGGCGCAACCCUGAUGCAGCGACGCCGCGUGCAUGAAGAAGGCUUUCGGUGUGUUAAACUCUAUCAGCAGGGGAGAAAAUGACGGUACCUGAUUCAGAAGCCACGGCUAACUACGUGCCAGCAGCCGCGGUAAUACGUAGGGGGCAAGCGUUAUCCGGAUUUAUUGGGUGUAAAGGGAGCGUAGACGGCAGAACAAGUCUGGAGUGAAAUGCCGGGGCUUAACCCCGGAACUGCCUUGGAAACUGUGCAGCUAGAGUGCAGGAGAGGUAAGUGGAAUUCCUGGUGUAGCGGUGAAAUGCGUAGAUAUUAGGAGGAACACCAGUUGCGAAGGCGGCUUACUGGACUGCAACUGACGUUGAGGCUCGAAAGCGUGGGGAGCAAACAGGAUUAGAUACCCCAGUAGUC
Molecule: ribosomal RNA, 440 nt
Filed under: uncultured bacterium
Lineage: Bacteria
Description: partial 16S ribosomal RNA
Rfam family: Bacterial small subunit ribosomal RNA
Source: RNAcentral